This is a long non-coding RNA of Ostrea edulis (European flat oyster), 423 nucleotides long. RefSeq lists it as uncharacterized. The transcript has 3 exons. NCBI's taxonomy places the organism in Eukaryota, Metazoa, Mollusca, Bivalvia, Ostreida, Ostreidae. The record is from RefSeq and is a predicted model, not a curated record.
UCAAUCAAAAGGAAAACACAGAUUUCUAGCACUCGGAAGAAAGCGAAAAACAUAAACAAUCCUUAACAUUACUGUCCAUGUAUAUUUAGAUAACUUUUAAAAAAUAUCUAUAAAGCUUUACACUACAGUCAGAUUCCGGUAAUAUUUACAAGACUGUGACGUCACACUCGCGUAAGCCGUCUGACGCGUCUGACGUAUGCAAGACAGCGAAUGUGAAAGUACAUAGAAACUCUACAGACUGAUGAGAAUUACUUUAGACGGGGUACGUCAACGAAUAGGCACGACAGCGAAAAUACGGAAGUCACUUCGGGGACGUGUCGCAGAAUCGCAUAACUCUACACGAGAUUAAAAGAAAGAAAAAAAGACAAUGAACACAACCAUGUAAAAACAAAUUCAAUCAAUUAAAUUAUCAGCAGAUUGAAA